RNAcentral lists this ribosomal RNA (345 nucleotides) under uncultured bacterium. RNAcentral's name for it is "partial 16S ribosomal RNA". It matches the Rfam family "Bacterial small subunit ribosomal RNA", at positions 373 to 710 of the family's 1533-position model. The record is from RNAcentral.
GGGCGCAAGCCUGAUGCAGCCAUGCCGCGUGUAUGAAGAAGGCCUUCGGGUUGUAAAGUACUUUCAGCGGGGAGGAAGGGAGUGAGGUUAAUAACCUUAUUCAUUGACGUUACCCGCAGAAGAAGCACCGGCUAACUCCGUGCCAGCAGCCGCGGUAAUACGGAGGGUGCAANMRWNAANNGGAAUUACUGGGCGUAAAGCGCACGCAGGCGGUCUGUCAAGUCGGAUGUGAAAUCCCCGGGCUCAACCUGGGAACUGCAUUCGAAACUGGCAGGCUGGAGUCUUGUAGAGGGGGGUAGAAUUCCAGGUGUAGCAGUGAAAUGCGUAGAGAUCUGGAGGAAUACC